AUUGAACGCUGGCGGCAUGCUUUACACAUGCAAGUCGAACGGUAACGCGGGCUUCGGCCUGGCGACGAGUGGCGAACGGGUGAGUAACACAUCGGAACGUGUCCUGGAGUGGGGGAUAGCCCGGCGAAAGCCGGAUUAAUACCGCAUACGCUCUGAGGAGGAAAGCGGGGGAUUCGCAAGGACCUCGCGCUGCGGGAGCGGCCGAUGUCGGAUUAGCUAGUUGGUGGGGUAAAGGCCCACCAAGGCGACGAUCCGUAGCUGGUCUGAGAGGAUGAUCAGCCACACUGGAACUGAGACACGGUCCAGACUCCUACGGGAGGCAGCAGUGGGGAAUUUUGGACAAUGGGGGCAACCCUGAUCCAGCCAUGCCGCGUGCGGGAAGAAGGCCUUCGGUUGUAACGCUUCGGCCGGAACGAAAUGGUUAGCACUAAUACUGCUGACUGAUGACGGUACCGGAAGAAGAAGCACCGGCUAACUACGUGCCAGCAGCCGCGGUAACACGUAGGGUGCGAGCGUUAAUCGGAAUUACUGGGCGUAAAGCGUGCGCAGGCGGCUUUUUAAGACAGGUGUGAAAAUCCCCGGGCGUUAACCUGGGGAAUUGCGCUUGUGACUGGAAGGCUGGAGUGCGGCAGAGGGGGAUGGAAUUCCACGUGUAGCAGUGAAAUUGCGUAGAGAUGUGGAGGAACACC
Molecule: ribosomal RNA, 689 nt
Filed under: uncultured bacterium
Lineage: Bacteria
Description: bacterial SSU rRNA
Rfam family: Bacterial small subunit ribosomal RNA
Source: RNAcentral